Molecule: non-coding RNA, 864 nt
Organism: Chlorocebus sabaeus (green monkey)
Lineage: Eukaryota; Metazoa; Chordata; Mammalia; Primates; Cercopithecidae
Source: RefSeq, a predicted model, not a curated record
CUAUGAAUCCCUGCAGCUCCAGUGUUGUCUUUUUUGUGUAAGAAAGGGAGAUUAUAACUACACAAGGUGAUGACAUCAUAACCCCGGGUCCCCACUGCGAGAUGAACACUGAAAUGAGCACUACAGACCCUAGGAGAGGAGGGUUCAAGUAGAGUCAGGGAAGGUCCUAGGGGAGGUGGUCUCUGAACUCAAGGGCAGGUUGCUAAAGAGGAGGAGUUGGGAGAGCAUUGAUGGCCAGGCAGAGAAAUCAAUGUGCAGAGGUCAGAUGAGAGAGUGACAAGGAGGAAACUAGUCAGGCUGGAGCAGAGAGGACUGCAGGAGCACCAUGUCCAUACUCACCCAGAAAUUAGUCUUUGACUGAGAAAUGGAGCACAAAGGAAUCAACAGAACCAGUGGGGGUUAAGUUUGGGUUGGGGGCACCAGGAGACACAAUACUCUGAGAAAGAAGAGAUCAGCACGUGGCCUGCUGUGAACAUAGAAAGCUUCACAUGGGGAUGGAACUUGAGCCUUGAAAGAGGGCAUGGCUGAGAACUGCUAUGAGUGCCUUUGGAAGGCCCAGAGGAACCCAAAGUGGAUGUCACGGGCAAAAGAUUACUGCCGAGGACUGCAUUUCAAGGAAUGGGCAAGGGGAAGACAGAAUCAGGCUAACUCAGCAAUGCCAGUGUCUCGAGCAUAAAAAAGCAUAUAACUGGACUAAAGGCAAUGAGGAACUUAAGAGGUGUCAACUACAUCAAACUGCACAGAGAGAUGGAAAUGAACAAUAUAAGAUAAAUCAAAGGAAGUCCUUCUUCAUGUAGAAGAGGAAAAACUCAUAGACCUCAUUACGAAAGAAAACUUUAAUAAAUGUACUCAUUACAAUUUGAA